This is a non-coding RNA of Triticum aestivum (bread wheat), 135 nucleotides long. The record is from Rfam. Lineage: Eukaryota; Viridiplantae; Streptophyta; Magnoliopsida; Poales; Poaceae.
UUGAUACUCCCUCCGUCUGGAAAUAGUUGUCAUUAAAAUGAAUAAAAGAGGAUGUAUCUAGAUGUAUUUUAGUUAUAGAAACAUCCCCUUUUAUCCAUUUUGAUGACAAGUAUUUUUCGACGGAGGGAGUACUUG